UACGUAGGGUGCAAGCGUUAAUCGGAAUUACUGGGCGUAAAGCGUGCGCAGGCGGUUUUGUAAGUCUGACGUGAAAUCCCCGGGCUCAACCUGGGAAUUGCGUUGGAGACUGCAAGGCUAGAAUCUGGCAGAGGGGGGUAGAAUUCCACGUGUAGCAGUGAAAUGCGUAGUGAUGUGGAGGAACACCGAUGGCGAAGGCAGCCCCCUGGGUCAAGAUUGACGCUCAUGCACGAAAGCGUGGGGAGCAAACAGG
RNAcentral lists this ribosomal RNA (253 nucleotides) under uncultured bacterium. Its description in RNAcentral is "partial 16S ribosomal RNA". It matches the Rfam family "Bacterial small subunit ribosomal RNA", at positions 524 to 776 of the family's 1533-position model. The record is from RNAcentral.